Molecule: ribosomal RNA, 496 nt
Filed under: uncultured bacterium
Lineage: Bacteria
Description: partial 16S ribosomal RNA
Rfam family: Bacterial small subunit ribosomal RNA
Source: RNAcentral
GACGAACGCUGGCGGCGUGCCUAAUACAUGCAAGUAGAACGCUGAAGAGAGGAGCUUACUCUUCUUGGAUGAGUUGCGAACGGGUGAGUAACGCGUAGGUAACCUGCCUUGUAGCGGGGGAUAACUAUUGGAAACGAUAGCUAAUACCGCAUAACAAUGGAUGACACAUGUCAUUUAUUUGAAAGGGGCAAUUGCUCCACUACAAGAUGGACCUGCGUUGUAUUAGCUAGUAGGUGAGGUAAUGGCUCACCUAGGCGACGAUACAUAGCCGACCUGAGAGGGUGAUCGGCCACACUGGGACUGAGACACGGCCCAGACUCCUACGGGAGGCAGCAGUAGGGAAUCUUCGGCAAUGGGGGCAACCCUGACCGAGCAACGCCGCGUGAGUGAAGAAGGUUUUCGGAUCGUAAAGCUCUGUUGUAAGUCAAGAACGGGUGUGAGAGUGGAAAGUUCACACUGUGACGGUAGCUUACCAGAAAGGGACGGCUAACUACGU